UGAGUGAGAGUCGGUGGUUGUAUGAUGGCUGAGAGCUGGUGUCUGAGAGAUGGUAUGGGGUAUGAUGGAAGGGUGCCAAUGAUUAUAUAUGUAAUGUUGAUAUGUACGCUUGAUAGGGAUGAUGGUGGAUCGACUAUAGUGCUGAGAGCCUUGCUUGUAUGCAUUAUAUUUAUGAUAGAAUAUGUGGUAUACUUGAAAACUCACUAAGCAUUAUGCUUAUGUUGUUAAGUUAAAUAUUUUUAAGGUUGUUCAAGGGAAGAACGCGAUGUGAUUGUACAUUCGCAUCGAAGAUUUGUUGUUUUUGACUUCCGCUGGUUUAAUAAAUAAACUAUGUUUAAGCUUAUAUUUCCAAAAUAAAAGGAUAAUAUAAUAUGUUUUUAGGAAUAUACUUAAACGUUAAUCGGAUUUUAAAUGAAAAUUUUGGUUUAAAAUUUGAGACGUUGCACUUCUGCUACAACUACAAGCGUUUUUAAAAACCCAACAUAAAAUUUAAGAAAAAUAUGUCGAUUCUAAUUUUAGUUUAAUUUUUAUUUUUAAAGUAAGUGUUUCUAAUGUAAUUUUUUUGAAAGAGGUUUCUAAUGUAAUUUUGAGUUUUAGAGUAAGGUAGUUUUAAUUUUAUGUAUUUAUUUUUAUUAAGGUAAUGUUUAUUUGAUUAUUUACUGAAAAAAUUAUUUUGCUUAGAAUAUAUUGUGUUUUUUUAAAUGUUGUAUUAAAAUAAAUAAAAGAUAAAAAUAUAUAAAUAUAUGGAGUGGUGGACUGGUUGUUAUUUCAUAAUUUAGUAAGUUUAGUAGGGAUAUAAUAAUGAUGUAACGAAGAUGAUAUUGCAAUGAUAUUUUAGAACUUCUUUUUUUUGAACAAUACUCUAUAGCCUUAUUUCUACAAACAUUUUGAAAACAUCUAUAUUCUACAACCUUUUUUUCAAAUGCAUCUGUUUUUAAAUAAGAUAAGGUGAUUUUAUAUUAAUAGCAAGGGUACCCUUAUACUUAAUGGCAACAUUGAGCGUUGAUAACGAUGAACAAAAUUUAGGUGAUCUUCAUGCAUUAGGAAUUUUACACGUUUAUUUAGAAAAUCCAUUUUUAAAUGUCGUUGACUUUUGGAAGUUCACUCAUCGUAUUUAUAUGUAUGGUAUGGAGACACAGAAGGGCAUGGGUCAUUAUAAUAGCAUUAAAUAGAUAUUUUGGAAAUCAUUCUUUCUCGGAUAUAGAUUAAAUUUAUCUGAUUCGAGAAGUCAAAGCCGAUCGAUGCAGAGAUCACUGAGAGUACUUAGACCAAUUGUGGUGCAUGGAACGACAGUAUCACGACGGAAAAUAGCUGCUGCUUCCUUCUCAACCUCUUUGUUAUUCGAUGAAACACAAAUAAGGCCUGUUGCAAUCAUGACUGCAGUUCAAAGAAGGUGUUCAACAAUUUGCCCAAGAGAAGAUAGCUCCUCAUGCAGACAAAAUCGACAAGACGGAUUCUUUCCCGGAGGUUCUUAGAAAAAAAUGAUGCAUUUUUCUAUAUAUGUUUCAUAAAUACUUAUAAUAUGUUGAGUAUCAAUCAGAUCCGUUUGAUGGUGCGGAAUCCCAAUCAAACGGAUGAUGCUAGAUCAAAAUAGAAGAGAAUGAGAAGAAGAAGAUGAUGAAUCUUGUAUGUAUUUAUAUGAAUGAAAAUCCGGAUACAAGAUUCACACACAUUCUUUUUUUUCUCUCUUUAGAACACCUUCAAAUGCACUCACUUAAGCUCCUAUAUUCUAUUCUCACGUUCAUCUAUCUCUCCUUACCCACCUAACAUCUAUUUAUCUGUAAAUGGGGAUCAUGGGCCGUAAUGAUUUUACGGUCGUAAAUGGGUUUACGGCCAUAAACACCCACCUAGCCGUAAACACAUAAAAUAUUACAUAAAAAUACAAUUGCACAGAAAAUCAAAGUAUAAACCAUAGUUUUGACCAAAUAAUAUUUCCCUUGUUGGGUAUCUGAUUGUUUGAUUGUAUGAUACUUUUAUGUGUCAUGUCUAGUUGGAGUAUUGUUAGUGUUGGUUGAUUAUUGAAAGAAUGUCCUAGGGGCUGUAUGUAGUUUAAUUUAUAUAACCUUAGAACUCUUAAUCCAACCUUAUUGUUUAUUCUUGUUUGAUAAAUGCCUUAGGGAAGGAACACAUGUUCGACCGACUAUCUUAUUUUCUAACUACGCAUGACUAUACAUUGGCGAUCCUUCAAUAUUAACAGUAACUUAUGUAUAAUUGUGGGAUGAGUGAGAGUCGGUGGUUGUAUGAUGGCUGAGAGCUGGUGUCUGAGAGAUGGUAUGGGGUAUGAUGGAAGGGUGCCAAUGAUUAUAUAUGUAAUGUUGAUAUGUACGCUUGAUAGGGAUGAUGGUGGAUCGACUAUAGUGCUGAGAGCCUUGCUUGUAUGCAUUAUAUUUAUGAUAGAAUAUGUGGUAUACUUGAAAACUCACUAAGCAUUAUGCUUAUGUUGUUAAGUUAAAUAUUUUUAAGGUUGUUCAAGGGAAGAACGCGAUGUGAUUGUACAUUCGCAUCGAAGAUUUGUUGUUUUUGACUUCCGCUGGUUUAAUAAAUAAACUAUGUUUAAGCUUAUAUUUCCAAAAUAAAAGGAUAAUAUAAUAUGUUUUUAGGAAUAUACUUAAACGUUAAUCGGAUUUUAAAUGAAAAUUUUGGUUUAAAAUUUGAGACGUUGCACUUCUGCUACAACUACAAGCGUUUUUAAAAACCCAACAUAAAAUUUAAGAAAAAUAUGUCGAUUCUAAUUUUAGUUUAAUUUUUAUUUUUAAAGUAAGUGUUUCUAAUGUAAUUUUUUUGAAAGAGGUUUCUAAUGUAAUUUUGAGUUUUAGAGUAAGGUAGUUUUAAUUUUAUGUAUUUAUUUUUAUUAAGGUAAUGUUUAUUUGAUUAUUUACUGAAAAAAUUAUUUUGCUUAGAAUAUAUUGUGUUUUUUUAAAUGUUGUAUUAAAAUAAAUAAAAGAUAAAAAUAUAUAAAUAUAUGGAGUGGUGGACUGGUUGUUAUUUCAUAAUUUAGUAAGUUUAGUAGGGAUAUAAUAAUGAUGUAACGAAGAUGAUAUUGCAAUGAUAUUUUAGAACUUCUUUUUUUUGAACAAUACUCUAUAGCCUUAUUUCUACAAACAUUUUGAAAACAUCUAUAUUCUACAACCUUUUUUUCAAAUGCAUCUGUUUUUAAAUAAGAUAAGGUGAUUUUAUAUUAAUAGCAAGGGUACCCUUAUACUUAAUGGCAACAUUGAGCGUUGAUAACGAUGAACAAAAUUUAGGUGAUCUUCAUGCAUUAGGAAUUUUACACGUUUAUUUAGAAAAUCCAUUUUUAAAUGUCGUUGACUUUUGGAAGUUCACUCAUCGUAUUUAUAUGUAUGGUAUGGAGACACAGAAGGGCAUGGGUCAUUAUAAUAGCAUUAAAUAGAUAUUUUGGAAAUCAUUCUUUCUCGGAUAUAGAUUAAAUUUAUCUGAUUCGAGAAGUCAAAGCCGAUCGAUGCAGAGAUCACUGAGAGUACUUAGACCAAUUGUGGUGCAUGGAACGACAGUAUCACGACGGAAAAUAGCUGCUGCUUCCUUCUCAACCUCUUUGUUAUUCGAUGAAACACAAAUAAGGGUAUAUAUAUUAUUCUUUCUUUUGUUUGUGAGUUAUAAAAUGGACGACUGUGAUUAUUCUUGUAUUUAUGUAUAAGUAACCUCUAAGUCUAAGACGAUAGAUUGAUGAGUUUUACUACAGCCUGUUGCAAUCAUGACUGCAGUUCAAAGAAGGUGUUCAACAAUUUGCCCAAGAGAAGAUAGCUCCUCAUGCAGACAAAAUCGACAAGACGGAUUCUUUCCCGGAGGUUCUUAGAAAAAAAUGAUGCAUUUUUCUAUAUAUGUUUCAUAAAUACUUAUAAUAUGUUGAGUAUCAAUCAGAUCCGUUUGAUGGUGCGGAAUCCCAAUCAAACGGAUGAUGCUAGAUCAAAAUAGAAGAGAAUGAGAAGAAGAAGAUGAUGAAUCUUGUAUGUAUUUAUAUGAAUGAAAAUCCGGAUACAAGAUUCACACACAUUCUUUUUUUUCUCUCUUUAGAACACCUUCAAAUGCACUCACUUAAGCUCCUAUAUUCUAUUCUCACGUUCAUCUAUCUCUCCUUACCCACCUAACAUCUAUUUAUCUGUAAAUGGGGAUCAUGGGCCGUAAUGAUUUUACGGUCGUAAAUGGGUUUACGGCCAUAAACACCCACCUAGCCGUAAACACAUAAAAUAUUACAUAAAAAUACAAUUGCACAGAAAAUCAAAGUAUAAACCAUAGUUUUGACCAAAUAAUAUUUCCCUUGUUGGGUAUCUGAUUGUUUGAUUGUAUGAUACUUUUAUGUGUCAUGUCUAGUUGGAGUAUUGUUAGUGUUGGUUGAUUAUUGAAAGAAUGUCCUAGGGGCUGUAUGUAGUUUAAUUUAUAUAACCUUAGAACUCUUAAUCCAACCUUAUUGUUUAUUCUUGUUUGAUAAAUGCCUUAGGGAAGGAACACAUGUUCGACCGACUAUCUUAUUUUCUAACUACGCAUGACUAUACAUUGGCGAUCCUUCAAUAUUAACAGUAACUUAUGUAUAAUUGUGGGAUGAGUGAGAGUCGGUGGUUGUAUGAUGGCUGAGAGCUGGUGUCUGAGAGAUGGUAUGGGGUAUGAUGGAAGGGUGCCAAUGAUUAUAUAUGUAAUGUUGAUAUGUACGCUUGAUAGGGAUGAUGGUGGAUCGACUAUAGUGCUGAGAGCCUUGCUUGUAUGCAUUAUAUUUAUGAUAGAAUAUGUGGUAUACUUGAAAACUCACUAAGCAUUAUGCUUAUGUUGUUAAGUUAAAUAUUUUUAAGGUUGUUCAAGGGAAGAACGCGAUGUGAUUGUACAUUCGCAUCGAAGAUUUGUUGUUUUUGACUUCCGCUGGUUUAAUAAAUAAACUAUGUUUAAGCUUAUAUUUCCAAAAUAAAAGGAUAAUAUAAUAUGUUUUUAGGAAUAUACUUAAACGUUAAUCGGAUUUUAAAUGAAAAUUUUGGUUUAAAAUUUGAGACGUUGCACUUCUGCUACAACUACAAGCGUUUUUAAAAACCCAACAUAAAAUUUAAGAAAAAUAUGUCGAUUCUAAUUUUAGUUUAAUUUUUAUUUUUAAAGUAAGUGUUUCUAAUGUAAUUUUUUUGAAAGAGGUUUCUAAUGUAAUUUUGAGUUUUAGAGUAAGGUAGUUUUAAUUUUAUGUAUUUAUUUUUAUUAAGGUAAUGUUUAUUUGAUUAUUUACUGAAAAAAUUAUUUUGCUUAGAAUAUAUUGUGUUUUUUUAAAUGUUGUAUUAAAAUAAAUAAAAGAUAAAAAUAUAUAAAUAUAUGGAGUGGUGGACUGGUUGUUAUUUCAUAAUUUAGUAAGUUUAGUAGGGAUAUAAUAAUGAUGUAACGAAGAUGAUAUUGCAAUGAUAUUUUAGAACUUCUUUUUUUUGAACAAUACUCUAUAGCCUUAUUUCUACAAACAUUUUGAAAACAUCUAUAUUCUACAACCUUUUUUUCAAAUGCAUCUGUUUUUAAAUAAGAUAAGGUGAUUUUAUAUUAAUAGCAAGGGUACCCUUAUACUUAAUGGCAACAUUGAGCGUUGAUAACGAUGAACAAAAUUUAGGUGAUCUUCAUGCAUUAGGAAUUUUACACGUUUAUUUAGAAAAUCCAUUUUUAAAUGUCGUUGACUUUUGGAAGUUCACUCAUCGUAUUUAUAUGUAUGGUAUGGAGACACAGAAGGGCAUGGGUCAUUAUAAUAGCAUUAAAUAGAUAUUUUGGAAAUCAUUCUUUCUCGGAUAUAGAUUAAAUUUAUCUGAUUCGAGAAGUCAAAGCCGAUCGAUGCAGAGAUCACUGAGAGUACUUAGACCAAUUGUGGUGCAUGGAACGACAGUAUCACGACGGAAAAUAGCUGCUGCUUCCUUCUCAACCUCUUUGUUAUUCGAUGAAACACAAAUAAGGGUAUAUAUAUUAUUCUUUCUUUUGUUUGUGAGUUAUAAAAUGGACGACUGUGAUUAUUCUUGUAUUUAUGUAUAAGUAACCUCUAAGUCUAAGACGAUAGAUUGAUGAGUUUUACUACAGCCUGUUGCAAUCAUGACUGCAGUUCAAAGAAGGUGUUCAACAAUUUGCCCAAGAGAAGAUAGCUCCUCAUGCAGACAAAAUCGACAAGACGGAUUCUUUCCCGGAGGUUCUUAGAAAAAAAUGAUGCAUUUUUCUAUAUAUGUUUCAUAAAUACUUAUAAUAUGUUGAGUAUCAAUCAGAUCCGUUUGAUGGUGCGGAAUCCCAAUCAAACGGAUGAUGCUAGAUCAAAAUAGAAGAGAAUGAGAAGAAGAAGAUGAUGAAUCUUGUAUGUAUUUAUAUGAAUGAAAAUCCGGAUACAAGAUUCACACACAUUCUUUUUUUUCUCUCUUUAGAACACCUUCAAAUGCACUCACUUAAGCUCCUAUAUUCUAUUCUCACGUUCAUCUAUCUCUCCUUACCCACCUAACAUCUAUUUAUCUGUAAAUGGGGAUCAUGGGCCGUAAUGAUUUUACGGUCGUAAAUGGGUUUACGGCCAUAAACACCCACCUAGCCGUAAACACAUAAAAUAUUACAUAAAAAUACAAUUGCACAGAAAAUCAAAGUAUAAACCAUAGUUUUGACCAAAUAAUAUUUCCCUUGUUGGGUAUCUGAUUGUUUGAUUGUAUGAUACUUUUAUGUGUCAUGUCUAGUUGGAGUAUUGUUAGUGUUGGUUGAUUAUUGAAAGAAUGUCCUAGGGGCUGUAUGUAGUUUAAUUUAUAUAACCUUAGAACUCUUAAUCCAACCUUAUUGUUUAUUCUUGUUUGAUAAAUGCCUUAGGGAAGGAACACAUGUUCGACCGACUAUCUUAUUUUCUAACUACGCAUGACUAUACAUUGGCGAUCCUUCAAUAUUAACAGUAACUUAUGUAUAAUUGUGGGAUGAGUGAGAGUCGGUGGUUGUAUGAUGGCUGAGAGCUGGUGUCUGAGAGAUGGUAUGGGGUAUGAUGGAAGGGUGCCAAUGAUUAUAUAUGUAAUGUUGAUAUGUACGCUUGAUAGGGAUGAUGGUGGAUCGACUAUAGUGCUGAGAGCCUUGCUUGUAUGCAUUAUAUUUAUGAUAGAAUAUGUGGUAUACUUGAAAACUCACUAAGCAUUAUGCUUAUGUUGUUAAGUUAAAUAUUUUUAAGGUUGUUCAAGGGAAGAACGCGAUGUGAUUGUACAUUCGCAUCGAAGAUUUGUUGUUUUUGACUUCCGCUGGUUUAAUAAAUAAACUAUGUUUAAGCUUAUAUUUCCAAAAUAAAAGGAUAAUAUAAUAUGUUUUUAGGAAUAUACUUAAACGUUAAUCGGAUUUUAAAUGAAAAUUUUGGUUUAAAAUUUGAGACGUUGCACUUCUGCUACAACUACAAGCGUUUUUAAAAACCCAACAUAAAAUUUAAGAAAAAUAUGUCGAUUCUAAUUUUAGUUUAAUUUUUAUUUUUAAAGUAAGUGUUUCUAAUGUAAUUUUUUUGAAAGAGGUUUCUAAUGUAAUUUUGAGUUUUAGAGUAAGGUAGUUUUAAUUUUAUGUAUUUAUUUUUAUUAAGGUAAUGUUUAUUUGAUUAUUUACUGAAAAAAUUAUUUUGCUUAGAAUAUAUUGUGUUUUUUUAAAUGUUGUAUUAAAAUAAAUAAAAGAUAAAAAUAUAUAAAUAUAUGGAGUGGUGGACUGGUUGUUAUUUCAUAAUUUAGUAAGUUUAGUAGGGAUAUAAUAAUGAUGUAACGAAGAUGAUAUUGCAAUGAUAUUUUAGAACUUCUUUUUUUUGAACAAUACUCUAUAGCCUUAUUUCUACAAACAUUUUGAAAACAUCUAUAUUCUACAACCUUUUUUUCAAAUGCAUCUGUUUUUAAAUAAGAUAAGGUGAUUUUAUAUUAAUAGCAAGGGUACCCUUAUACUUAAUGGCAACAUUGAGCGUUGAUAACGAUGAACAAAAUUUAGGUGAUCUUCAUGCAUUAGGAAUUUUACACGUUUAUUUAGAAAAUCCAUUUUUAAAUGUCGUUGACUUUUGGAAGUUCACUCAUCGUAUUUAUAUGUAUGGUAUGGAGACACAGAAGGGCAUGGGUCAUUAUAAUAGCAUUAAAUAGAUAUUUUGGAAAUCAUUCUUUCUCGGAUAUAGAUUAAAUUUAUCUGAUUCGAGAAGUCAAAGCCGAUCGAUGCAGAGAUCACUGAGAGUACUUAGACCAAUUGUGGUGCAUGGAACGACAGUAUCACGACGGAAAAUAGCUGCUGCUUCCUUCUCAACCUCUUUGUUAUUCGAUGAAACACAAAUAAGGGUAUAUAUAUUAUUCUUUCUUUUGUUUGUGAGUUAUAAAAUGGACGACUGUGAUUAUUCUUGUAUUUAUGUAUAAGUAACCUCUAAGUCUAAGACGAUAGAUUGAUGAGUUUUACUACAGCCUGUUGCAAUCAUGACUGCAGUUCAAAGAAGGUGUUCAACAAUUUGCCCAAGAGAAGAUAGCUCCUCAUGCAGACAAAAUCGACAAGACGGAUUCUUUCCCGGAGGUUCUUAGAAAAAAAUGAUGCAUUUUUCUAUAUAUGUUUCAUAAAUACUUAUAAUAUGUUGAGUAUCAAUCAGAUCCGUUUGAUGGUGCGGAAUCCCAAUCAAACGGAUGAUGCUAGAUCAAAAUAGAAGAGAAUGAGAAGAAGAAGAUGAUGAAUCUUGUAUGUAUUUAUAUGAAUGAAAAUCCGGAUACAAGAUUCACACACAUUCUUUUUUUUCUCUCUUUAGAACACCUUCAAAUGCACUCACUUAAGCUCCUAUAUUCUAUUCUCACGUUCAUCUAUCUCUCCUUACCCACCUAACAUCUAUUUAUCUGUAAAUGGGGAUCAUGGGCCGUAAUGAUUUUACGGUCGUAAAUGGGUUUACGGCCAUAAACACCCACCUAGCCGUAAACACAUAAAAUAUUACAUAAAAAUACAAUUGCACAGAAAAUCAAAGUAUAAACCAUAGUUUUGACCAAAUAAUAUUUCCCUUGUUGGGUAUCUGAUUGUUUGAUUGUAUGAUACUUUUAUGUGUCAUGUCUAGUUGGAGUAUUGUUAGUGUUGGUUGAUUAUUGAAAGAAUGUCCUAGGGGCUGUAUGUAGUUUAAUUUAUAUAACCUUAGAACUCUUAAUCCAACCUUAUUGUUUAUUCUUGUUUGAUAAAUGCCUUAGGGAAGGAACACAUGUUCGACUGACUAUCUUAUUUUCUAACUACGCAUGACUAUACAUUGGCGAUCCUUCAAUAUUAACAGUAACUUAUGUAUAAUUGUGGGAUGAGUGAGAGUCGGUGGUUGUAUGAUGGCUGAGAGCUGGUGUCUGAGAGAUGGUAUGGGGUAUGAUGGAAGGGUGCCAAUGAUUAUAUAUGUAAUGUUGAUAUGUACGCUUGAUAGGGAUGAUGGUGGAUCGACUAUAGUGCUGAGAGCCUUGCUUGUAUGCAUUAUAUUUAUGAUAGAAUAUGUGGUAUACUUGAAAACUCACUAAGCAUUAUGCUUAUGUUGUUAAGUUAAAUAUUUUUAAGGUUGUUCAAGGGAAGAACGCGAUGUGAUUGUACAUUCGCAUCGAAGAUUUGUUGUUUUUGACUUCCGCUGGUUUAAUAAAUAAACUAUGUUUAAGCUUAUAUUUCCAAAAUAAAAGGAUAAUAUAAUAUGUUUUUAGGAAUAUACUUAAACGUUAAUCGGAUUUUAAAUGAAAAUUUUGGUUUAAAAUUUGAGACGUUGCACUUCUGCUACAACUACAAGCGUUUUUAAAAACCCAACAUAAAAUUUAAGAAAAAUAUGUCGAUUCUAAUUUUAGUUUAAUUUUUAUUUUUAAAGUAAGUGUUUCUAAUGUAAUUUUUUUGAAAGAGGUUUCUAAUGUAAUUUUGAGUUUUAGAGUAAGGUAGUUUUAAUUUUAUGUAUUUAUUUUUAUUAAGGUAAUGUUUAUUUGAUUAUUUACUGAAAAAAUUAUUUUGCUUAGAAUAUAUUGUGUUUUUUUAAAUGUUGUAUUAAAAUAAAUAAAAGAUAAAAAUAUAUAAAUAUAUGGAGUGGUGGACUGGUUGUUAUUUCAUAAUUUAGUAAGUUUAGUAGGGAUAUAAUAAUGAUGUAACGAAGAUGAUAUUGCAAUGAUAUUUUAGAACUUCUUUUUUUUGAACAAUACUCUAUAGCCUUAUUUCUACAAACAUUUUGAAAACAUCUAUAUUCUACAACCUUUUUUUCAAAUGCAUCUGUUUUUAAAUAAGAUAAGGUGAUUUUAUAUUAAUAGCAAGGGUACCCUUAUACUUAAUGGCAACAUUGAGCGUUGAUAACGAUGAACAAAAUUUAGGUGAUCUUCAUGCAUUAGGAAUUUUACACGUUUAUUUAGAAAAUCCAUUUUUAAAUGUCGUUGACUUUUGGAAGUUCACUCAUCGUAUUUAUAUGUAUGGUAUGGAGACACAGAAGGGCAUGGGUCAUUAUAAUAGCAUUAAAUAGAUAUUUUGGAAAUCAUUCUUUCUCGGAUAUAGAUUAAAUUUAUCUGAUUCGAGAAGUCAAAGCCGAUCGAUGCAGAGAUCACUGAGAGUACUUAGACCAAUUGUGGUGCAUGGAACGACAGUAUCACGACGGAAAAUAGCUGCUGCUUCCUUCUCAACCUCUUUGUUAUUCGAUGAAACACAAAUAAGGGUAUAUAUAUUAUUCUUUCUUUUGUUUGUGAGUUAUAAAAUGGACGACUGUGAUUAUUCUUGUAUUUAUGUAUAAGUAACCUCUAAGUCUAAGACGAUAGAUUGAUGAGUUUUACUACAGCCUGUUGCAAUCAUGACUGCAGUUCAAAGAAGGUGUUCAACAAUUUGCCCAAGAGAAGAUAGCUCCUCAUGCAGACAAAAUCGACAAGACGGAUUCUUUCCCGGAGGUUCUUAGAAAAAAAUGAUGCAUUUUUCUAUAUAUGUUUCAUAAAUACUUAUAAUAUGUUGAGUAUCAAUCAGAUCCGUUUGAUGGUGCGGAAUCCCAAUCAAACGGAUGAUGCUAGAUCAAAAUAGAAGAGAAUGAGAAGAAGAAGAUGAUGAAUCUUGUAUGUAUUUAUAUGAAUGAAAAUCCGGAUACAAGAUUCACACACAUUCUUUUUUUUCUCUCUUUAGAACACCUUCAAAUGCACUCACUUAAGCUCCUAUAUUCUAUUCUCACGUUCAUCUAUCUCUCCUUACCCACCUAACAUCUAUUUAUCUGUAAAUGGGGAUCAUGGGCCGUAAUGAUUUUACGGUCGUAAAUGGGUUUACGGCCAUAAACACCCACCUAGCCGUAAACACAUAAAAUAUUACAUAAAAAUACAAUUGCACAGAAAAUCAAAGUAUAAACCAUAGUUUUGACCAAAUAAUAUUUCCCUUGUUGGGUAUCUGAUUGUUUGAUUGUAUGAUACUUUUAUGUGUCAUGUCUAGUUGGAGUAUUGUUAGUGUUGGUUGAUUAUUGAAAGAAUGUCCUAGGGGCUGUAUGUAGUUUAAUUUAUAUAACCUUAGAACUCUUAAUCCAACCUUAUUGUUUAUUCUUGUUUGAUAAAUGCCUUAGGGAAGGAACACAUGUUCGACCGACUAUCUUAUUUUCUAACUACGCAUGACUAUACAUUGGCGAUCCUUCAAUAUUAACAGUAACUUAUGUAUAAUUGUGGGAUGAGUGAGAGUCGGUGGUUGUAUGAUGGCUGAGAGCUGGUGUCUGAGAGAUGGUAUGGGGUAUGAUGGAAGGGUGCCAAUGAUUAUAUAUGUAAUGUUGAUAUGUACGCUUGAUAGGGAUGAUGGUGGAUCGACUAUAGUGCUGAGAGCCUUGCUUGUAUGCAUUAUAUUUAUGAUAGAAUAUGUGGUAUACUUGAAAACUCACUAAGCAUUAUGCUUAUGUUGUUAAGUUAAAUAUUUUUAAGGUUGUUCAAGGGAAGAACGCGAUGUGAUUGUACAUUCGCAUCGAAGAUUUGUUGUUUUUGACUUCCGCUGGUUUAAUAAAUAAACUAUGUUUAAGCUUAUAUUUCCAAAAUAAAAGGAUAAUAUAAUAUGUUUUUAGGAAUAUACUUAAACGUUAAUCGGAUUUUAAAUGAAAAUUUUGGUUUAAAAUUUGAGACGUUGCACUUCUGCUACAACUACAAGCGUUUUUAAAAACCCAACAUAAAAUUUAAGAAAAAUAUGUCGAUUCUAAUUUUAGUUUAAUUUUUAUUUUUAAAGUAAGUGUUUCUAAUGUAAUUUUUUUGAAAGAGGUUUCUAAUGUAAUUUUGAGUUUUAGAGUAAGGUAGUUUUAAUUUUAUGUAUUUAUUUUUAUUAAGGUAAUGUUUAUUUGAUUAUUUACUGAAAAAAUUAUUUUGCUUAGAAUAUAUUGUGUUUUUUUAAAUGUUGUAUUAAAAUAAAUAAAAGAUAAAAAUAUAUAAAUAUAUGGAGUGGUGGACUGGUUGUUAUUUCAUAAUUUAGUAAGUUUAGUAGGGAUAUAAUAAUGAUGUAACGAAGAUGAUAUUGCAAUGAUAUUUUAGAACUUCUUUUUUUUGAACAAUACUCUAUAGCCUUAUUUCUACAAACAUUUUGAAAACAUCUAUAUUCUACAACCUUUUUUUCAAAUGCAUCUGUUUUUAAAUAAGAUAAGGUGAUUUUAUAUUAAUAGCAAGGGUACCCUUAUACUUAAUGGCAACAUUGAGCGUUGAUAACGAUGAACAAAAUUUAGGUGAUCUUCAUGCAUUAGGAAUUUUACACGUUUAUUUAGAAAAUCCAUUUUUAAAUGUCGUUGACUUUUGGAAGUUCACUCAUCGUAUUUAUAUGUAUGGUAUGGAGACACAGAAGGGCAUGGGUCAUUAUAAUAGCAUUAAAUAGAUAUUUUGGAAAUCAUUCUUUCUCGGAUAUAGAUUAAAUUUAUCUGAUUCGAGAAGUCAAAGCCGAUCGAUGCAGAGAUCACUGAGAGUACUUAGACCAAUUGUGGUGCAUGGAACGACAGUAUCACGACGGAAAAUAGCUGCUGCUUCCUUCUCAACCUCUUUGUUAUUCGAUGAAACACAAAUAAGGGUAUAUAUAUUAUUCUUUCUUUUGUUUGUGAGUUAUAAAAUGGACGACUGUGAUUAUUCUUGUAUUUAUGUAUAAGUAACCUCUAAGUCUAAGACGAUAGAUUGAUGAGUUUUACUACAGCCUGUUGCAAUCAUGACUGCAGUUCAAAGAAGGUGUUCAACAAUUUGCCCAAGAGAAGAUAGCUCCUCAUGCAGACAAAAUCGACAAGACGGAUUCUUUCCCGGAGGUUCUUAGAAAAAAAUGAUGCAUUUUUCUAUAUAUGUUUCAUAAAUACUUAUAAUAUGUUGAGUAUCAAUCAGAUCCGUUUGAUGGUGCGGAAUCCCAAUCAAACGGAUGAUGCUAGAUCAAAAUAGAAGAGAAUGAGAAGAAGAAGAUGAUGAAUCUUGUAUGUAUUUAUAUGAAUGAAAAUCCGGAUACAAGAUUCACACA
Molecule: long non-coding RNA, 13365 nt
Organism: Lactuca sativa (garden lettuce)
Lineage: Eukaryota; Viridiplantae; Streptophyta; Magnoliopsida; Asterales; Asteraceae
Source: RefSeq, a predicted model, not a curated record